GACGGAGGAUGCAAGUGUUAUCCGGAAUCACUGGGCGUAAAGCGUCUGUAGGUGGUUUAAAAAGUCCACUGUUAAAGGUUGAAGCUUAACUUCAAAAAUGCUGUGGAAACUUUUAAACUAGAGUAUGGUAGGGGUAGAGGGAAUUUCCAGUGGAGCGGUGGAAUGCGUAGAUAUUGGAAAGACCACCAAUGGCGAAGGCACUCUACUGGGCCAUUACUGACACUGAGAGACGAAAGCUAGGGGAGCGAAUGGG
Molecule: ribosomal RNA, 253 nt
Filed under: uncultured bacterium
Lineage: Bacteria
Also listed under: 1 other name
Description: partial 16S ribosomal RNA
Rfam family: Bacterial small subunit ribosomal RNA
Source: RNAcentral